RNAcentral lists this ribosomal RNA (1338 nucleotides) under metagenome. Its description in RNAcentral is "bacterial LSU rRNA". It matches the Rfam family "Bacterial large subunit ribosomal RNA", at positions 1589 to 2925 of the family's 2925-position model. The record is from RNAcentral.
UGUGGUCGAAUCCAUGAUUCCAAGAAAAGUUUCGAUGUGUUGUUAGGGCAGCUCGUACCGUAAUCCGACUCAGGUGAGUGGGAUGGGUAUUCUAAGGCGAUUGGGUUAAAAUUGGUUAAGGAACUCGGCAACUUGACACCGUAACUUCGGAAAAAGGUGUGCCACGGUAGGGUUUAUAGCCCGAUGUGGUCGCAGAGAAAUGGGAGUAGCGACUGUUUAUCAAAAACACAGGGCUGUGCUAAGUCACAAGACGACGUAUACAGCCUGACGCCUGCCCGGUGCUGGAAGGUUAAGAGGAUUUGUCAGCGUAAGCGAAGCAGAGAAUCGAAGCCCCAGUAAACGGCGGCCGUAACGAUAACGGUCCUAAGGUAGCGAAAUUCCUUGUCGGGUAAGUUCCGACCUGCACGAAUGGCGUAACGACUUCUCCGGUGUCUCAACCAAAUGCCCAGCGAAUUUGAACUCUCAGUGAAAAUGCUGAGUUCCCGCAGAAAGACGGAAAGACCCCGUGAACCUUUACUCUAGCUUGGCAGUGAUCUUAGAUCUAGCAUGUGUAGGAUAGGUGGGAGCCUUUGAAGCUUGGGCGCUAGCUCAGGUGGAGGCAACCUUGAAAUACCACCCUUGUUGGCUUUGAGAUCUAACCUGCGCUCUGAUCAGGGCGAGGGACACUGUCUGGUGGGGAGUUUGACUGGGGCGGUCGCCUCCAAAAAAGUAACGGAGGCGUACGAAGGUUCGCUCAGCCUGAUUGGAAACCAGGCGGUGAGUGCAUUGGCAUAAGCGAGCUUAACUGCAAGACCUACAAGUCGAGCAGAUGCGAAAGCAGGUCAAAGUGAUCCGGUGGUCCCGCGUGGAAGGGCCAUCGCUCAACGGAUAAAAGGUACUCCGGGGAUAACAGGCUGAUUCCGCCCAAGAGUUCACAUCGACGGCGGAGUUUGGCACCUCGAUGUCGGCUCAUCUCAUCCUGGGGCUGGAGCAGGUCCCAAGGGUAUGGCUGUUCGCCAUUUAAAGAGGUACGCGAGCUGGGUUCAGAACGUCGUGAGACAGUUUGGUCCUUAUCUUCUGUGGGCGUAGGAAAAUUGAGUGGAGCUGUCCUUAGUACGAGAGGACCGGGAUGGACAAACCUCUGGUGUUCCUGUUGUCGCGCCAGCGGCAUCGCAGGGUAGCUAUGUUUGGAACGGAUAACCGCUGAAAGCAUCUAAGCGGGAAGCCAACCACAAGAUUAGUUUUCCCUAAAGCUUCGGCUUUCUAAAGACUCGUUCGAGACUAGGACGUUGAUAGGUUGCAAGUGUACUUCCAGCAAUGGAUUCAGCUAAGCAAUACUAAUUGGUCGUGAGGCUUCUU